This 265-nucleotide ribosomal RNA is filed under the name uncultured bacterium. RNAcentral's name for it is "partial 16S ribosomal RNA". It matches the Rfam family "Bacterial small subunit ribosomal RNA", at positions 524 to 786 of the family's 1533-position model. The record is from RNAcentral.
UACGAAGGGGGCUAGCGUUGCUCGGAAUCACUGGGCGUAAAGCGCACGUAGGCGGAUUGCUAAGUCAGGGGUGAAAUCCUGGAGCUCAACUCCAGAACUGCCUUUGAUACUGGUGAUCUUGAGUCCGGGAGAGGUGAGUGGAACUGCGAGUGUAGAGGUGAAAUUCGUAGAUAUUCGCAAGAACACCAGUGGCGAAGGCGGCUCACUGGCCCGGUACUGACGCUGAGGUGCGGAAAGCGUGGGGAGCAAACAGGGAUUAGAACGA